GUGGGGAAUCUUCCGCAAUGGACGAAAGUCUGACGGAGCGACGCCGCGUGAGUGAAGAAGGCCUUCGGGUCGUAAAGCUCUGUCAUCAGGGACGAACGGCCGGUGGAGUGGAAAGCCACCGGAUUGACGGUACCUGAGAAGGAAGCCACGGCUAACUACGUGCCAGCAGCCGCGGUAAUACGUAGGUGGCAAGCGUUGUCCGGAAUUAUUGGGCGUAAAGCGCGCGCAGGUGGGAUCUUAAGUCCAUUUUUAAAGUUCGGAGCUCAACUCCGUGAUGGGAUGGAAACUGGGAGUCUUGAGUACCGGAGAGGAAAGCGGAAUUCCCCGUGUAGCGGUGAAAUGCGUAGAUAUGGGGAGGAACACCAGUGGCGAAGGCGGCUUUCUGGACGGUGUCUGACACUGAGGCGCGAAAGCCAGGGGAGCGAACGGGAUUAGAAACCCUGGUAGUCC
RNAcentral lists this ribosomal RNA (450 nucleotides) under uncultured bacterium. RNAcentral describes it as "partial 16S ribosomal RNA". It matches the Rfam family "Bacterial small subunit ribosomal RNA", at positions 354 to 796 of the family's 1533-position model. The record is from RNAcentral.